This is a long non-coding RNA of Tyto alba (common barn owl), 3005 nucleotides long. RefSeq lists it as uncharacterized. Lineage: Eukaryota; Metazoa; Chordata; Aves; Strigiformes; Tytonidae. The transcript is spliced from 2 exons. The record is from RefSeq and is a predicted model, not a curated record.
ACGUUAUCCCAACCGAAGAGGCCAAACGGGAGCUUUAACAGAAAAAUCUCAUCCCCUGCGGAUCAGAGCCUAAGUGGCUUGUUCAAGGUCAUCGCGGGGGUGUGUGGUGGAGCUGGGAAUUAAAUGCGUAUGUCUCAAGAGCCAGCCUUGUGCUUUUAUCACCAGGGAAACAGCAUAAGCCUCACUGGGGAGCAAGAAACAUUUCCUUGGCAGCUGGAGUUCUCGCUACCAGCUAUUUAUCUGCCUGGGUGAGUGCUGUGCUGAGCUCCUGCAACAAAACCCCCACGGCACCAACCCGCCCCGAUGUAAAUUCCCCAUUUAUCAGCCGAAGCUGGGGACGAGGGUCCCAGCGGAGGGGACAGAGCCGACGGCCGGGGAUCCCGGUGUGACAUGAGCCACCUUGCCAUCCAGCAGCACCCUGGGGAGAAGAGAGGGGUGAGGAGCUGCCGUGGUGCUUUCCAUCACGGUCCCCUCCGCCGCGGUCCCCCCGGCCGCCUGCGUGCCUGCGCCUGGUGAUGCUGCUGGCCCCGCUCUGCCCCCCUUGCCCGGCUGGAGUCAUCCAUCUUGCGCUGUGUAAGAGGCCUGUUGCAAUUAAGGAGGCUGAAGUGCUCCUGAACUCUUUAACCUUUGCCCUGGGAUUGCUCCUUUUGCCCCGGGGCUGCGGAUCAGCUCCAUUGCACUCUCCAAACAGCGCCUGCUACUUAGCUGACAUUUCUUUCUCCUGCUGGAUCCUAUUAGCACCCUGAGGUUGAAAAUGCUACUUUGGAGUGUUGUAAGGAAUGUGAUUUAUACUGGAAAGUAGCGGCAAUCUAUCUUUCCCUAUACACACACUACACGUGAGGCUGGAGAGCUAAAUCCACAUCGCCUGAACAAACAGCAACAGGGAUAAUUGUUGAGGAGGCUUCAGACACCUAGCAAGGAGAGGAGGCUCGGUGGGACGGCGCGAGCGGGGCAGGCACUGGGGCCAGCAGCUGGGCAGGAAUCCCCCUCCCCAUUGGGGUCCCGUCCCCACACCAGCGCAAACUGGUGCUGGACGCUGCUGGUUUCCAGGUAAUGCUGAAGACCCGCCCGGGCUGUUUGCAAGGGCUCUGUUUGUGGGGUCCAUCGUGUACUUCUUCACACUUCUCAUUGCCUUUCGGUUUUGUGUCAAGGGAAGAGCAGAGCUGAGCAGAGUUUGCACCGGUUUGCCUGCAUGUGAGUACAUAUCAUAGAUAACGCAAUAUGCACGGGAGGCAGAUGGAAAUAAGAAUUGAAUGGUGCCUGAAGGAGGGCUGAUUAGCCUUUAUCAGAUAUGACACACUAACCACUGAGGCUCCUUGCUGGAAUACCGGGUUAAAAUCUCUGCAGUGUCAAAUUUCAUUCUCCUAAGCAAAGAGACACUUUCCAUAGUGUUUGUGUGAAUCUUCUGGAUAAGCCCUGGAGACUGAAACUGUCUCAGAUUCAUGUGGGCAUUAAAAGUCCCACCCACAUGUUUAAAAAAAGCCCCAAACCCAGAAACGCAAAAGCUGACAUUUACUCUAAAAUGUCUUCUUCCUGCAUCGCUGCAUGGCAUCCCGUGUGAGCGGCGCUGCCUCCCUCCUCGCCGGAGCUUGGCUGCAUUUUAGCAGGGCCGCGGGCAUCCUCGUGGGCCUUCACACGAACGGCCCAGCUGAAAGCCAAGAGGUUAUUUUGCACACGCAAAAGUGUGCGCACAAACAUGCACGUGGACACGAGCACAGUAUUUUCUGGGAGAAAAACCAACUACAAAAAACCCCCAAGCCUAAGCAGCCUCUAUGUCAAAAGCCCUUUUAUAAAAGCCUCGGUAGCUGAAGAAUUGCCAUUGUUUCAGUCUCCAGUGAGUGCUAGUCUUAAAAUAUUUCCAGCUCAGAGCAGGCUUUGACAUUCUGCCCAGACCCAGGAGAGGGAACAAACAUGAGUUCAGAAAUGUUUCUACAAGGCACAGAUCCUUCUUUUUUUUUUGGAGAAUCACGUUCAGCAUCUCAUCUCAUGUGGCUAUGUCCCCAAAGUGGGGGAAAUGCCCCAAAGCACCCUGAAAAGCAGCGGGGUAGGGACUUCUCAGGGACUCCUGGUGAGGCAGGGAGAGCUGGCCUGGCUUCCAUGCCGAGGCACUGGGGUUUGCUUUUCAUGCUUUUAGUUAGUCUUUCUGUCGCGAGCAGCAAAACCAUUUUUUCCCCCCAGAAAUACUGCACUCCAGGCUGCUCCUCCUGCUUGAAUGCCAAUGACUGUGCAGACCUAACUCCCCACCCCACUGGAUGCCAGCAGAUGGUCCAAAAGUGCAGCUGUUUAGACACUGGAAAUCAAAGAAGACAGAGAGUAUGCGGUGGUAUUAAUCCCCCUUAGCCUUUUCUGUGUGUUCACCAGUGAUCCUGGGUGUGACAGAGUGCAAAUUCGGGAGGAGGCAGCUCUCAGUACUUCACUCCCUCCAUCAUCUUCUCCUGCGGGAAGGGCACGCGAGAGAUGGACCAGGACCCACGCACCCACCGCAGCACUUGUUCCACAAUGUGGUGGGAGCUGGGGCGGGAGGACCCCCGGACAAGGCUGUCCCCUGGACUUGACUUGGUGGGGAAUAGCUCAGCUAUUUGGCCAGCAUUCAUGGUUUCUCACCCUUUGCCUUUCCAUAAUGUAAAAAAAGGAGAGGAGCUGAGAUGCAAGUUACCGGCUCGGCUACAUUUCUGCAGGUCAAGGUGGUUCCUCACCUCCUUGCGAAAAACUUUUUGGCAGAGAAGUGCAGAAAACUGUCAGAGGUCUGCGGGCAAUCGGGAAUGAUCUGGCUGCCCUGGGGUCUGCGUGCAGUGCUGAUGGCCAGGGCUGCCUCGGGAGCUGCUGGGAGGCUGCGUGCUCUGGAGAGCAGGAGCUAACGUGUGCUUAUUUGGGCUGUGAGCUCUUCUCACGUUGGAUGGAGGGCUGUGUUUACCCAAGAACAAUGCGGGGUUAAAAUUUAGUAAGUCCUUGUGCAACCCUUUAUAGAGAAGCAAUGAGGACAAAUAAACAUCUCUUAAAAUACA